This 253-nucleotide ribosomal RNA is filed under the name uncultured Prevotella sp. Its description in RNAcentral is "partial 16S ribosomal RNA". It matches the Rfam family "Bacterial small subunit ribosomal RNA", at positions 524 to 776 of the family's 1533-position model. The record is from RNAcentral. Lineage: Bacteria; Pseudomonadati; Bacteroidota; Bacteroidia; Bacteroidales; Prevotellaceae.
UACGGAAGGUCCGGGCGUUAUCCGGAUUUAUUGGGUUUAAAGGGAGCGUAGGCCGGUCUUUAAGCGUGCCGUGAAAUUUUGUGGCUCAACCAUGAGAGUGCGGCGCGAACUGGAGACCUUGAGUGCGCGGAAGGCAGGCGGAAUUCGUGGUGUAGCGGUGAAAUGCAUAGAUAUCACGAAGAACUCCGAUUGCGAAGGCAGCUUACCAGUCUGCGACUGACGCUCAGGCACGAAAGUGUGGGUAUCGAACAGG